RNAcentral lists this ribosomal RNA (383 nucleotides) under uncultured bacterium. RNAcentral describes it as "bacterial SSU rRNA". It matches the Rfam family "Bacterial small subunit ribosomal RNA", at positions 422 to 793 of the family's 1533-position model. The record is from RNAcentral.
UUCGUAAAGCACUUUCAGUAGGGAGGAAGGUAGUGUAGUUAACACCUGCACUAUUUGACGUUACCUACAGAAGAAGCACCGGCUAACUCCGUGCCAGCAGCCGCGGUAAUACGGAGGGUGCGAGCGUUAAUCGGAAUUACUGGGCGUAAAGCGCAUGCAGGCGGCCUGUUAAGUCAGAUGUGAAAGCCCGGGGCGUUAACCUCGGAAUUGCAUUUGAAACUGGCAGGCUAGAGUCUUGUAGAGGGGGGUAGGAAUUUCAGGUGUAGCGGUGAAAUAGCGUAGAGAUCUGAAGGAAUACCAGUGGCGAAGGCGGCCCCCUCGGACAAAGACUGACGCUCAGAUGCGAAAGCGUGGGGAGCAAACAGGAUUAGAUACCCUGGUAG